This 397-nucleotide ribosomal RNA is filed under the name uncultured bacterium. RNAcentral's name for it is "partial 16S ribosomal RNA". It matches the Rfam family "Bacterial small subunit ribosomal RNA", at positions 523 to 918 of the family's 1533-position model. The record is from RNAcentral.
AUACGUAGGGGGCGAGCGUUGUCCGGAAUGAUUGGGCGUAAAGGGCGCGUAGGCGGCCCGGUAAGUCUUGAGUGAAAGUCCUGUUUUUAAGAUGGGAAUUGCUUUGGAUACUGUCGGGCUUGAGUGCAGGAGAGGUAAGUGGAAUUCCCAGUGUAGCGGUGAAAUGCGUAGAGAUUGGGAGGAACACCAGUGGCGAAGGCGACUUACUGGACUGUAACUGACGCUGAGGCGCGAAAGUGUGGGGAGCAAACAGGAUUAGAUACCCUGGUAGUCCACACUGUAAACGAUGAAUGCUAGGUGUAGGGGGUAUCGACCCCUUCUGUGCCGCAGUCAACACAAUAAGCAUUCCGCCUGGGGAGUACGGCCGCAAGGUUGAAACUCAAAUGAAUUGACGGGG